Molecule: ribosomal RNA, 262 nt
Filed under: uncultured bacterium
Lineage: Bacteria
Description: partial 16S ribosomal RNA
Rfam family: Bacterial small subunit ribosomal RNA
Source: RNAcentral
GAUCAUGGCUCAGGAUGAACGCUGGCGGCGUGCUUAACACAUGCAAGUCGAACGGAUAAGGCACCUUCGGGUGUGCAUAGAGUGGCGAACGGGUGAGUAACACGUGCCCAACCUGCCCCCCGCUCCGGGAUACCCCCGGGAAACCGGGAUCAAUACCGGAUGACGCGGGAAGGCCGCAUGGCCUUCCUGCCAAAGCCCAGGCGGCGGGGGAUGGGGGCGCGGCCCAUCAGGUAGACGGCGGGGUGACGGCCCACCGUGCCCG